RNAcentral lists this ribosomal RNA (422 nucleotides) under uncultured Terrimonas sp. RNAcentral describes it as "bacterial SSU rRNA". It matches the Rfam family "Bacterial small subunit ribosomal RNA", at positions 353 to 772 of the family's 1533-position model. Lineage: Bacteria; Pseudomonadati; Bacteroidota; Chitinophagia; Chitinophagales; Chitinophagaceae. The record is from RNAcentral.
AGUAAGGAAUAUUGGUCAAUGGACGCAAGUCUGAACCAGCCAUGCCGCGUGGAGGAUGAAGGUCCUCUGGAUUGUAAACUUCUUUUAUCUGGGACGAAAAAGGGGCUUUCUAGCUCAACUGACGGUACCAGAUGAAUAAGCACCGGCUAACUCCGUGCCAGCAGCCGCGGUAAUACGGAGGGUGCAAGCGUUAUCCGGAUUCACUGGGUUUAAAGGGAGCGUAGGUGGGUUGGUAAGUCAGUGGUGAAAUCUCUGAGCUUAACUCGGAAACUGCCAUUGAUACUAUCACUCUUGAAUACCGUGGAGGUCAGCGGAAUAUGUCAUGUAGCGGUGAAAUGCUUAGAUAUGACAUAGAACACCAAUUGCGAAGGCAGCUGGCUACACGAAUAUUGACACUCAGGCUCGAAAGCGUGGGGAUCAAA